UACGUAGGGUGCAAGCGUUAUUCGGAAUUACUGGGCGUAAAGCGUGCGCAGGCGGCUUUGCAAGACAGAUGUGAAAUCCCCGGGCUCAACCUGGGAACUGCAUUUGUGACUGCAUGGCUGGAGUGCGGCAGAGGGGGAUGGAAUUCCGCGUGUAGCAGUGAAAUGCGUAGAUAUGCGGAGGAACACCGAUGGCGAAGGCAAUCCCCUGGGCCUGCACUGACGCUCAUGCACGAAAGCGUGGGGAGCAAACAGG
This 253-nucleotide ribosomal RNA is filed under the name uncultured bacterium. RNAcentral's name for it is "partial 16S ribosomal RNA". It matches the Rfam family "Bacterial small subunit ribosomal RNA", at positions 524 to 776 of the family's 1533-position model. The record is from RNAcentral.